AGAGUUUGAUCCUGGCUCAGGAUGAACGCUGGCGGCGUGCUUAACACAUGCAAGUCGAACGGGAAACCUUUUAUUGAAGCUUCGGCAGAUUUAGCUGGUUUCUAGUGGCGGACGGGUGAGUAACGCGUGGGUAACCUGCCUUAUACAGGGGGAUAACAACCAGAAAUGGUUGCUAAUACCGCAUAAGCGCACAGGACCGCAUGGUCCGGUGUGAAAAACUCCGGUGGUAUAAGAUGGACCCGCGUUGGAUUAGCUAGUUGGCGGGGUAACGGCCUACCAAGGCGACGAUCCAUAGCCGGCCUGAGAGGGUGAACGGCCACAUUGGGACUGAGACACGGCCCAGACUCCUACGGGAGGCAGCAGUGGGGAAUAUUGCACAAUGGGGGAAACCCUGAUGCAGCGACGCCGCGUGAAGGAAGAAGUAUCUCGGUAUGUAAACUUCUAUCAGCAGGGAAGAUAGUGACGGUACCUGACUAAGAAGCCCCGGCUAACUACGUGCCAGCAGCCGCGGUAAUACGUAGGGGGCAAGCGUUAUCCGGAUUUACUGGGUGUAAAGGGAGCGUAGACGGACUGGCAAGUCUGAUGUGAAAGGCGGGGGCUCAACCCCUGGACUGCAUUGAAAACUGUUAGUCUUGAGUGCCGGAGAGGUAAGCGGAAUUCCUAGUGUAGCGGUGAAAUGCGUAGAUAUUAGGAGGAACACCAGUGGCGAAGGCGGCUUACUGGACGGUAACUGACGUUGAGGCUCGAAAGCGUGGGGAGCAAACCAGGAUUAGAUACCCUGGUAGUCCACGCCGUAAACGAU
Molecule: ribosomal RNA, 802 nt
Filed under: uncultured bacterium
Lineage: Bacteria
Description: bacterial SSU rRNA
Rfam family: Bacterial small subunit ribosomal RNA
Source: RNAcentral